GACGAACGCUGGCGGCGUGCUUAACACAUGCAAGUCGAACGAAGUGGCGAACGGGUGAGUAACGCGUAAUCAACCUGCCCUUCAGAGGGGGACAACAGUUGGAAACGACUGCUAAUACCGCAUACUGAAGGAGGGGAUUGCGUCUGAUUAGCUAGUUGGCGGGGGAACGGCCCACCAAGGCGAUGAUCAGUAGCCGGUAGGAGAGGAUGAACGGCCGCACUGGGACUGCGACACGGCCCAGACGCCUAGGGGAGGCAGCAGUGGGGAAUCGUCCGCAAUGGACGGAAGUCUGACGGAGCAACGGCGCGUGAGGGAGGACGGCCGUCGGGUUGGAAAGCUCUGUUAAUCGGGACGCGGUACCGGAAGAGAAAGCCACGGCUAACUACGUGCCAGCAGCCGCGGUAAUUC
This 408-nucleotide ribosomal RNA is filed under the name uncultured bacterium. Its description in RNAcentral is "partial 16S ribosomal RNA". It matches the Rfam family "Bacterial small subunit ribosomal RNA", at positions 28 to 526 of the family's 1533-position model. The record is from RNAcentral.